This 690-nucleotide unclassified non-coding RNA is filed under the name Hevea brasiliensis (rubber tree). Lineage: Eukaryota; Viridiplantae; Streptophyta; Magnoliopsida; Malpighiales; Euphorbiaceae. The record is from RNAcentral.
ACGAUGGUUCUGCUUGAGAAGCUUUGGGAUGAUGUUGUGGCUGGACCUCAGCCUGACCGCGGUCUUGGCAAGCUCAGGAAAAUCACCACCAAGCCCUUCAUCCUUAAAGAUUUGGAAGGAGAGGGAAGCAAAUACCAGAGGUCGAUGUCUAUGCCAGCUAGUCCGGGAACACCCACCACGCCGGUGACACCUACGACGCCGUUAACAGCGGCGCGUAAGGACAAUGUUUGGAGGAGCGUCUUCAACCCUGGUAGAAACUUUGCAACCAAGUCUAUUGGUGCUGAAGUCUUCGACAAACCUCAACCCAACUCUCCAACUGUUUACGACUGGCUUUACAGUGGUGACACCAAGAGCCAGCACCGUUAAAUGGUGGCUGCAGCUGCGGCGGCGAUAAUCGGUGGCCGCAUGUAAAUAGCGUCAUAAUAGGGUCAUGUUUGGUGACGUGGACCGGUGGGUUUUGGAUGUUUAUGUGAUUUACAUGUUCUAACUAGGUUUUGGCAUCUGAGUUUAUUUAAGUGUUUAGAGUGUUGUUUAAUCUUUAAUGUGUGAGUCUGUAGUUAAUUAGGUCUAAGUCUGCUGACACGGCCGAUGAUCGGACUACUACUUCAUAGAGUCCGCCGUGCACGGCGGUGAUUAGCGACUCAUGAUUGUUGUUUAAAUAAAUGUGGUCUUUUUUUCCCUUCAAAUUUA